GGCUCUUGUUUUGUUUUUGUUUUGUUUUUUAAUCAAAUCUGCUACUCUGUGUCUUGGUUUGGAGCAUUUAGUCCAUUGAUAUUUAAGGUGAUUUUUGAUAGAUACGUAUUUAUUGCCAUUUUAAACCUUAUUUCUCACUGAUUUUUAUAUUUCUUCUUUGGCUCUUCUUUCUUUUUUUUCCUCUUGUGCUUUGAUGAUUUUCUUUUGUUUUUAUUUCUUUUUUAAAAUUUAAUUUUUUUGGAAUAUAGUUGAUUUACAAAGUUAUUUUUGUUUCUGGUGAGUUGCAAAAUGAAUCAGUCAUACAUAUAAAUAUAUCCUUUUUUUCAUAUGGGUUAUUACAAACCAUUGAGUAGAUUUUCCCGUGUUAUACAAUAUGUUCUCAUUGAUCAUCUGUUUCAUACAGUAGUGUGUAUAUUUUAUUCACACCCUCCCAAUUCUUCCUCCCUCCCAACAGUUUCAUCUAUGGUUAAUAUAAGAUUGGUUUUGAAAUCCGUAAGCGUGUUUCCAUUUUUCUUUCUUUUUUUUUUUUGUUAUGGCCAGGCCUGCAGUAUAUAGAAAUUCCCAGGCUAGGGUUGAAUUGGAGCGGCAGCUGCAGGCCUAUGCCACAGCCACAGCAACAUCAGAUGUGACUGAUGCCGCAGCUUGUGGCAAGACCAGAUCCUUUACCCACUGAGCAAGGCCAGGGAUCUAACCUGCAUCCUCACAGACACUAUGUUGGAUUCUUAACUCACUGGGCCACAAUGGGAACUCCUGAUUCUGUGUUUGUUGUUGUUGUUCGCUUUUUAGGGCUACACCCAUGGCAUAUGGAAAUUCCCAGGCUAGGGGUCGAAUCAGAGCUACAGCUGCUGGCCUAUGCCACAGCCACAGCAAGAGUGGGAUCUGAGCCAAGUCUGCCACCUACACCACAGCUCACAGCACUGCUGGAUCCCUACCCACUGAGAGAGGCUAGUGAUCAAACCCACAUCCUCAUGGAUUCUAGUCAGAUUCAUUUCCACUGUGCCAUGAAGGGAACUCCCCUGAUUCUGUUUUUUUAAAAUAAGUUCUUUUGUAUCAUUUUUAUUAGAUUCUACAUACAAGUGAUAUCAUAUGAUAUUUGUCUUUGACAUACUUCACUCAGUAUGAUAAUCUUUAGGUCCAUCCAUUUUGCAGUAAAUGGCAUUAUUUCAUUCUGUUUUAUGGCUGAAUAAUAUUCAAUUGUAUAUAUAUAUGUACCACAUCUUUAUUCAUUCCUCUAUUAGUGGACAUCUAGGUUGUUUACAUGUCUUGACUAUUGUAAAUAGUGCUGCUAUGAAUAUUGGGGUGCAUGUAUCUUUUCAACUUGUGGUUUUCUCUGGAUAGAUGCCCAGGAGUGGGAUUGUUGGAUCAAAUGGUAAUUCUGUUUUUAGUUUUCUGAAGAAUCUCUAUACUGUUUUCCACAGUGGUUGUACAAAUUUACAUUCCCACCAACAGUAUAGGAGAGUCCCCUGUUUUCCUCACCCUCUUCAGCAUGUAUUCUUUAUAGACUUUUCAAUGAUGGCUAUUCUGGUUACUGUAAGGUGGUAUUUCAUUGUAGUUUUGACUUGCGUUUCUCUAAUAAUUAGUGAUGUUGGGCAUCUUUUCCUGUGUUUUUGGGCCAUCUGUCUGUCUUCUUUAGAUAAAUGUCUAUUUAGAGCUGCACAGUUUUUUGCUGGUUUUUGUUUUUGAUAGAAAGCUGCAUGAGAUGUUUGUUUAUUUUGGAGGUUAAUCCCUUGUUAGUCACUUCAUUUGCAAACAGUUUUGCCCAUUCUGCGAUUGUCCUUUCAUUUUUUUUUUAUGGUUUCCUUUGCUGUGAAAAAGCCUUUAAGUUUAAUUAGGUCUCAUGUGUUUAUUUUUGUUUUUAUUUCCAUCACUCUAGGUGACGGAUCCAAAAAAAAAAAAA
This 1897-nucleotide long non-coding RNA is filed under the name Sus scrofa (pig). RNAcentral describes it as "lncRNA (ENSSSCG00060000055.1)". Lineage: Eukaryota; Metazoa; Chordata; Mammalia; Artiodactyla; Suidae. The record is from RNAcentral.